This is a non-coding RNA of Panthera uncia (snow leopard), 2711 nucleotides long. NCBI's taxonomy places the organism in Eukaryota, Metazoa, Chordata, Mammalia, Carnivora, Felidae. The record is from the annotation of a RefSeq genome assembly.
UGAAAUGUGUAAACCCAUCUCCAAAACUGGGUUUACAUUUUUAUAUGUAGCAUUUAGCAUGGUCUGUAAUAGAACAUCAUUAUGACUAGUACUACUGCUAUUUUGUUAUUAUUGAUCAUAACAAUGCUGCUAACUCAGAAUAUAUAUUUUCUACCAUAUUAUUUUUUUUUUUACCUUUUAAAGAGAGUCAGUGUCAAGGUAUCAGGAGGUAAAUGUUUGAGUUUCCUUUGGAAUCAAAUAACUUAGUUGUUCAUUCAGAUGCUCCCCUUCUCUGCUAAGGGUCAAUAUGAACCUCAAAAUGUUUUGGAUUUUAUACUGCCUCCUUAUUGUCUGUCUUAGAAAAGUUUCCUUGAUUUUUCCCUGCCUAGGUACUUAGAUUUUGCAACUUACAUUUAUCCAGAGUAUACUUUGCUUUUAACCUCUCCCAUAAUUGGCCUCCUUGUCCCAAUAAUUAUGCACAGCAAAAAUCAGUUCAACUGUUUAUGAUCACUGGGUCUCAUCAAUAAGCUAGGGACCACAGCUGCUUUUAAAAAAAGAAAAAAAGAAAAAAAGAAGCAUAAGAUACGGCCCCUGCCCUCAAGAAGUUCCAGUCUUAUCAGAGAAACAACACUUAUAUAUUAAAAGUCUAACGAUAAUUUACAUGUGAAUGUGCCAAGAUGGGUACUGUAUGUGGUCAUGCACAAGACCUGGGACCUGGCAGGGAGUCCUGUUGGCUGGAGACAGGACAGUGGUGACAAGGGUCAGUCCGCAUUCCCAGGCAGAGACCAAGCAUGAUUCCACCUAUGUGCUUCUGGAAAAGGACUUAUGUCUGUUAUCUGCUGAGAUGUUUGACUUUCUUGAGGACAAAAAGCCCCCUGGGCAGAAUCCUUGAGUGAGGUGAGGAUAGAAACUGCAAUGAGUCAGGCUGAGUCACCAGGACUCUUACUCAGCCCCAGAGAGGAAGAGGUGACUGAGUCAUGCCAAGGCAUGUUUUUAGCACGGGGCCCCAGCAGGGCAUGCUGGAAAUGCUCUCGCUCCUACUCUUUCUGGCAAAGUGAAAAAUACAUUUUUGCGUAUGUUACCCAAGAAAAUGGUACCUUCUUUUCAGGUGUGUCAGCUGAGGUAAGAAAAUGCCUCCCCGGUGCCUUGUAAUUUCCAUCUUUAGAAAUACUCACACCUACCCUGACCUAGAUUGGAGGCAGGUUUUUCCGCAACCUUUUGUGAAGGCUCUGUUCCACCCCCCCCAUCCCCAGAGGAAAAAUAGCCAGAGGCUGUGUUUGUUGAUAGCUAUGAUGAGGAAUAGGGAGGCCAGUGGGAGGUGGCACAGCUAAACCCAUUAGGGUGGUUGUAGCAUGCAUUACAGGGAAAACAGAAGGAUCAGGCUUUCCAGGUCCCCAGCUUUUUUUUUUUUUAAUGUUUAUUUUUGAGAGAGAGACAGAGACAGAGACAGAGACAGAGUAUGAGUGGGGGAGGGGCAGAGAGAGAGAGGGAGACACAGAAUCUGAAGCAGGCUCCAGGCUCUGAGCUGUCAGUGCAGAGCCCGAUGUAGGGCUUGAACUCACGAAGCGUGAGAUCAUGACCUGAGCCAAAGUUGGACGUUCAACCGACUGAGCCACCCAGGUGUCCCUCUAGGUCCCCAGCUUUUAGAGCUCCAGUGAAGGGUGUGUGUCCUCCAUGAGAGGGUGCACAAAACCAGGACCUUUUUGUAAUGCUCUUACCCAGAGUGUGGCUAUGGGAACAACAGACUCACUUUUGGGAAGGGGACCCAGGUGAUGGUCACACCAGCUAUUCAGAACCCUGACCCUGCCGUGUACCAGCUGAAAAGCCCUGAAUCCAGUAACAUCUCUGUCUGCCUGUUCACUGAUUUUGAUUCGGAAGUCAAUGUGAAACCAUCCACAGAGUCCAACAUGAUUAGAUUGAAAAGUACUUCACUGGACAUGAAGACUAUGGAUUCCAAGAGCAACGGGGCCCUGGCCUGGAGCAACAGCUUUGAUUUGGGAUGCAAUAGUACCUUCAACUACACCUUCCACUCCAGCUCAGAAUUUCCCUGUGAUGCCAAUGUGGUAGAGAAAGGCUUUGAAACAGAUAUGAACCUAAAUUUCUACAACCUGCUAGUGAUCGUGCUCCGCAUCACCUUCCUGAAGGUGGUUGGCUUUAACCUGCUCAUGACGCUGCGGCUGUGGUCCAGCUGAGGUCACCAAGAAUGUGAGAGCCCAGCGCUCCCCUGCUCCUCCCACACCUUCUCCCCCUCUUCAAGAAGAGAGGCACACUCUCUGCCCCCAUGGAGAAGAAGGUUCCCUCCACCUCUCUGGUCCCACUGGCAACGUCACUGACCGGACCCUAGCAGAUAUUUGUGAUCAAGAUGCUGAAGAGCUGCCAAACACCGCUGCCACCAGUCUGUCCCCUCAUCGCUGCUUGUCACUGCCUGACACUCCCGGCAAAGGAGCUGCUGCUGUGGCCUCACCUGGCUGGGGAGAAACUCCCCGACCUUCCCCUGAGACUGCCCAUAUGUCCCCUGGAUGAGGGAUCCCCAGUGGGUCCUCUCAGGCUCUAGCUCCUGGAGAAUGUUGUGAGGAGUUUAUAUAUUUUAAAUUAUGUUCAUAAAGGAAUAACACAUCACACUUGUCCCCAAGAUGUGAGGAAAAUUAUUAUCUAGGCCCUGCUGUGCUGUGUAUCUGAGCCACAUUGUAUAUUCUGCUACCCAUGACUUCAUUAAAGGCAUUGAAAGAGCA